CUGUAGAAGGUCACCCAGAGAGUGGACGGACGGAACCAAUAUUAUUAUUCAAUUAACGUAAAUAAGUCGGAUGCUUGAGAAACUUUUAUUGGUCGUAAAUCUGAUUGAAACAAUGACAUUAUUUUUUUGUCAAAUUAGUCAAUCAAUGAACGGGGUUUACCGCAAUUAAUAAAGUGAAAUGGACGUAUGGAAAAAUACUACAGGCUUUUUUGUUUUGAGUAUUUGCGUAGGCACUCGGUGUCAUUGAUAAUAAAGAUGGGCGUGUUCUUCGUCUUCCUCGCCCUGGGCUGCUGUUGGGGGGCUGUUCCGGAAGUGGGAGCAGCAGUUGACCCAGAGGGGAAUAAGAAUCCUUCGUCGGCUCACGAUGAAAUUAGCGUCUCGUAUUCUAUUCCCACAGUAGAAGAACAUAUUCGAAGCUUAAACAUCGUGGUGGACAUGACAUCCUUUAAGAAUUGUGACAUUUCAGAAUGUUCCAACGUCUGCGGGACAAAGGAUUCAAAGAAAGCGUAUUGUGACCCGUACAAUAAAAAGCUGUGCAUGUGCGAUCCACAAAACUUCCACCCCAGUGACAUGGUGGGGACAAUUGACGCCGUGAAUAGGGAAAUCCCCCCUCAAAAGAAUUGUUCCGUGGCGUGCAACAAGAGAAAUUCAUAUGGUCGGAUCUGGAUGAAGGAAGAAAAAUCUUUGUGGUCCUGCCUUUGCCUUCUGCGUCAGCUCACCCCAACGGGAAUUACACUCUGCGACCCACUCGCCAAGCCCAAGAUGGAAGUUUGUCGUGCUGUUUGCCAAACGGACACGGCCUCGUGUUCAUUCAAUGGGGCCUGCGUCUGUCGCAAAACUUGGGAUAUUUUUUUCAACAUGUCCGUCUCAAAUGUUCGGAAAGAGAUUCCGCAAGACCAGUCGGAAUGUUCCACCAUCUGCACGAGCUAUCAUCACGACUACGUGGGUCGCAUCUACGACUCGAAGAUGGGGGCUAUGGAAAACGGUACGGGGUACGCGUUACGGGAAAAGUACUGCGUGUGUGGAGACUGGCUGGACAUUGCCAAGCUCCCACAAACGACGGCCCUUCUCAACCAGGGCUUCCAGUUAUGCACAGGCCUGAAGUGUAAACAGCGGUGUGGGAUGGACGAGGCCGUGUGCGAGCCCCACUUCCGCAGGGGAUGUCUCUGCCCAAGGGAGAAUAUCAUCAUUGGAAAACAUUUGUGGGCCAGACUGCCCACGCCGAAGGAGACCAAGUGCUACGAGACGUGCUCUGCCUUUGGGUUCGACGCACGCGUAAUAGAAUGGAACCCAUUCCUGGUUCCACAAGAUCUCAAAUUUGAGCCUCACUACCCAAAUCGACAUGCACCAAUAUCGUCCCUGUACUGACGAGUUAUGUCGUCUCAUUUGUGGCCACUACGAUGCAGAGUGCGACAAGCGCACUCGGCGGACCUGCUUUUGCAACACGCACCAACUGUCGCACGACCUGGGGCGUAAUGCCGACCCGGGCGAGGUGAACUGUGACAUCUCCUGUCGAUACGGCCUCUACGAUGCCAAAAUACUGGACAUGAAGUGGGAGGUGGGGGUUGACUCAUGGGGCGUCAAGAUCUCAAAGUACUGCAGCUGCAUCCAAACCCAAACUCCGGCCGGUCUCUCACACUGCGACCCCAUCCAGGACGAGUGCCCUAAAUACUGCGGGGGAAUCGGGAAAGCUUACUGUACCAGGGAAAAAUACUGCCACUGUGGCGUCGUUCCGUUUGGACCCAUGUCGCUGUCCCCCCUUAUCCGUCUCGGGAAUGGGAAGGAGGCGGACGAGUGUGGGGAAAAGUGUCACUCUUGGCUCUGGCCCAUGACGGAAGAUUUGGACAAUCGCCCCUUCAUCUACGACGAAGCGUUGGGAUCCUGCUCCACUGAUUCGUCGUCAUCGGAUUCGCCACCCUGUCCAAAGGUGGACACCAGUCCCUGGAGGCCUGAGAAGGCUGGGGUGAUGUCCAUCCAGUUAGACUCGCUCGAGCUGGACGUUGCUGCCCGACGGAAAUUCUGCAUAUGUGCCAAAACUAGCGAAUCCAUGUACAAACCUGGAAAUCGGUUUAUUGCUCAUCUCGAGCCAGAAAGAAUUCCAGACGACGUCCCAUGUCCGGGGAAUCACACGUGUGUCAUUGUUGGCAAAAGCUUGCACAUUACGGGAUAGUACAUAUUUUAUAUUGAUUGAUUGAGCAUAUUUUAUAUUGGGAAGUAAUAAAGUGAUGGCCAUGUCAUGAUGAAUGCUGAAUUAUCCCAUUUUCUCGAGUGUUGUGACCACCACUGCUCUCAAGAUUUCGUAUAGAAUUUUAUGAAACGACAUUUGCAUGCAGAUUUGUGUUCAAAAUAUUUAAUUUCGUGCAACCAUUCCAAGUAAUAUUCCAACUAAUAUUCACAUCUACUUCACCACACACAUUUUAUGCUAAAUACUUUUUGACGGAAAGGUUGGGAGUGCAUGAUGUCCGAUUGAUCUGAUCUACAUAUUGGAGGGCACAUUAAGGAGUCGAUGCAAAUGUUGAGACGAGAUGAUAUUUACCUCAAAAACGUCAUUACCAUCACAUUUCCCAUUUGUAUGCUACUAUGAGUAUGCACAUGCACGGUUAAAUUUCUUUGGGCGAUUGUGAGAUAAGGAAAUGAGGGCACUGAUCCUAGCUUAUUCCCAAUCAGUGCAGUGCCAGAGGACCUAUGUGACAUUUUUGUCUAAAUGUCUGGAUUCUCCAACAUAGAUUCAGAUAGGUUCAAGGAGAAAUUAUGUAAAGUCAAUGAAUAGGCAGCAUGCAAAUGCUACUGAACUUGGCUGCACCUUAUAUCGUAGAAAAGAUACCACUAAAUGCGACAGAUUCCACAGCAAAAAUUUGGUUUGCAUCAGGCAGUAUUAUUACUGCGAAUUGAACCAUUGUUCCAUCCGGGAGAACAAGCCAGCCAGGAUCGAGUCGAGCGAGGACGCCAGAGAAGGAAGUCACGACUGCCUAGCGCUGCUGCCAAUUAUCGCCAACAUUGAAACAAAGAAAUCAUGAGUUUUCCCGGAUCCACAUUUUAUUCUAUCCCACGCCUCCACGUUCCACAGCAAGGACGACCCAAUUUUCUGCAGUUAGGACCUCCUCCCCUCCGCCAGCCGAGCGUCGUAGUCGUCGGAUCACCCCAAUCGGCGACAUGUCCCAGCUUCACCACCAAGAGACCCCUCAACUUCGGCGUCAAAAGCUGCUACGCUGUCUCCGUCGACAAGCUCAGCCCCCUCAGCACGGCGGGGGCAACUCGAGUCAAAAGGAACACACAUCACGUGUCGUUCUCAGAAAUGGAAGACUUUGAGCUGAACGUUAAGGGUUAUCGGGAGUAUCGAAAACACGACUUGGUCAACAAAUUCCGGAAACUUGACAAUCAAGUCCUCGAGGAGAAAGACUGCUGGCUCGUGGAGAAAGAUGGCUACUUUUGGGGGGAUGACAGUCCUGAGACAAUUCCAGACUUUAACCCGGCCGAGGAGGACGAGUGGAUGGACGACUCUGAGUUCCAGCAGCAUGGGCGAAAACCAUUUUUGAGCAACACAAUCCUCAACGAGCAAGAAGAAGGAGGACAAAACAGCCCCCCGUCGGAGCAAGACUGGCUGAUCGCGGGAAUGGAGGUGGACAGCGGAGUUACGCCCACCGAGUGGCCCACCCCAGUCUCUUCAGCAUGGGCCUCCCCAACAACCCCAGAGGGACGCAACUAUGUUUCUGGGCGUCGCGGUCGUACUCCGGCACUCACGCCCUUGUCUGGUAUCUGCGCCGACUUGUCAUUGCUUGGAUUUCCGGAGUUUCCUACCCCUGCUCAAAUCAGGGCUGCAGCUGAAGAAUGUUGGGAUGACUAAAAACCAAGAAGGCCAUUACAUGCAUGCAAAUUAUUACUCUGAGAAAUGAAUUACUCGGAAGAAUGCAUGGACACUGGCCCAAAUUAUGUUAAUUUUUAUGUGGGUUUUAAUUUAUUUACUAUACUAUUUGGAAUAUAUGACAGUUGUGCUAUAUGGAUGAGUCGAUCGUCACGUCAGGUUAGACGAAGAAAUCAACUCCUUUUACUCUCGCCAAUGACAAUGACAAUUAUUAUUAUUUUUUAAUUACUCGACCUUUCUUUUGAUCGGCACAUUUUUAUUGCAAACUAUUAUUGAUGUACUUUAUUUCACCAGAUUGUUUUACGUAAGUCUUAUUAUUCCCAGAUUAUAAAAAUAGGAAAAGUUUUCAUUCACAAUUUUACAGUAAAAUUAACGUCUUGUACCAUGAUUAUGAUUUUUGUACUCGCUUUACUGACUAAUAUGUUUGCUUUGUAAUGAUCUUAUUGCAGAUAUACUUUUUAUUAAAUUUUAUCCAAUGUUGUUCCAAAAA
Molecule: RNA transcript, 4352 nt
Organism: Folsomia candida
Lineage: Eukaryota; Metazoa; Arthropoda; Collembola; Entomobryomorpha; Isotomidae
Exons: 13
Source: RefSeq, a predicted model, not a curated record